GAUGAACGCUGGCGGCGUGCCUAAUACAUGCAAGUCGAGCGAACGGACGAGAGGCUUGCUUCUCUGAUGUUAGCGGCGGACGGGUGAGUAACACGUGGAUAACCUACCUAUAAGACUGGGAUAACUUCGGGAAACCGGAGCUAAUACCGGAUGAUAUUUUGAACCGCAUGGUUCAAAAGUGAAAGACGGUCUUGCUGUCACUUAUAGAUGGAUCCGUGCUGCAUUAGCUAGUUGGUAAGGUAACGGCUUACCAAGGCAACGAUGCAUAGCCGACCUGAGAGGGUGAUCGGCCACACUGGAACUGAGACACGGUCCAGACUCCUACGGGAGGCAGCAGUAGGGAAUCUUCCGCAAUGGGCGAAAGCCUGACGGAGCAACGCCGCGUGAGUGAUGAAGGUCUUCGGAUCGUAAAACUCUGUUAUUAGGGAAGAACAUAUGUGUAAGUAACUGUGCACAGCUUGACGGUACCUAAUCAGAAAGCCACGGCUAACUACGUG
Molecule: ribosomal RNA, 497 nt
Filed under: uncultured bacterium
Lineage: Bacteria
Description: partial 16S ribosomal RNA
Rfam family: Bacterial small subunit ribosomal RNA
Source: RNAcentral